This 124-nucleotide small RNA is filed under the name Marmota monax (woodchuck). The record is from RNAcentral. Lineage: Eukaryota; Metazoa; Chordata; Mammalia; Rodentia; Sciuridae.
GCCAGGUGCAGUGGCAUACGCCUGUAAUCCAGUGGCUCAGGAGGCUGAGGCAGGAGGAUUGCGAGUUCAAAGCCAGCCUCAGCAAAAAUGAUACGCUAAGCAACUCAGUGAAACCCUGUCUCUA